This 253-nucleotide ribosomal RNA is filed under the name uncultured bacterium. RNAcentral describes it as "partial 16S ribosomal RNA". It matches the Rfam family "Bacterial small subunit ribosomal RNA", at positions 524 to 776 of the family's 1533-position model. The record is from RNAcentral.
UACGGGGGGGGCAAGCGUUGUUCGGAAUUACUGGGCGUAAAGGGCUCGUAGGCGGCCAACUAAGUCAGACGUGAAAUCCCUCGGCUUAACCGGGGAACUGCGUCUGAUACUGGAUGGCUUGAGUUUGGGAGAGGGAUGCGGAAUUCCAGGUGUAGCGGUGAAAUGCGUAGAUAUUGGGAAGAACACCGGAGGCGAAGGCGGGUUGCUGGGCCGAUACUGACGCUGAGGAGCGAAAGCGUGGGGAGCGAACAGG